CAAGGCGACGAUCCCUAGCUGGUCUGAGAGGAUGACCAGCCACACUGGAACUGAGACACGGUCCAGACUCCUACGGGAGGCAGCAGUGGGGAAUAUUGCACAAUGGGCGCAAGCCUGAUGCAGCCAUGCCGCGUGUAUGAAGAAGGCCUUCGGGUUGUAAAGUACUUUCAGCGGGGAGGAAGGUGUUGUGGUUAAUAACCGCAGCAAUUGACGUUACCCGCAGAAGAAGCACCGGCUAACUCCGUGCCAGCAGCCGCGGUAAUACGGAGGGUGCAAGCGUUAAUCGGAAUUACUGGGCGUAAAGCGCACGCAGGCGGUCUGUCAAGUCGGAUGUGAAAUCCCCGGGCUCAACCUGGGAACUGCAUUCGAAACUGGCAGGCUUGAGUCUUGUAGAGGGGGGUAGAAUUCCAGGUGUAGCGGUGAAAUGCGUAGAGAUCUGGAGGAAUACCGGUGGCGAAGGCGGCCCCCUGGACAAAGACUGA
This 482-nucleotide ribosomal RNA is filed under the name Salmonella enterica. RNAcentral describes it as "bacterial SSU rRNA". It matches the Rfam family "Bacterial small subunit ribosomal RNA", at positions 269 to 743 of the family's 1533-position model. The record is from RNAcentral. Lineage: Bacteria; Pseudomonadati; Pseudomonadota; Gammaproteobacteria; Enterobacterales; Enterobacteriaceae.